Hyla sarda is the source of this 1631-nucleotide long non-coding RNA. RefSeq lists it as uncharacterized. The transcript has 3 exons. Lineage: Eukaryota; Metazoa; Chordata; Amphibia; Anura; Hylidae. The record is from RefSeq and is a predicted model, not a curated record.
ACUUACCUGACGUGUCUGUUCCUGGUCAGUGCCGUGGAUACCCGCCACCCCCUGGAAGUCCAUCCCCAGUUCCUUAGAUCUAGAACAUGCUUUCUGCAGAUGAGACAUCGUAUUCAACUUGACAGGUCCCCCACAAGGACAUCAUACAGAAGUCCACAUUAAGGGUAGGGUCACAUGUGCCAUUGAAGUCAAUGGAAAAUAUGAAGCCGAUUUUGCUACCCAUUGACUAGGAAAAUACGCAGCAGCAAAAUACGCAAAAAUACGCUAUCCUAAAACUGAUUUCAUACAGCCAUAAAAUAGCUGGAAAGGUUUUCCUGCUGAGAUCCAUUCCUGUCUUUGUCUCUAAGUAUUUGAUUCCCAUAUGGCUGUAUGAUUCACUCUAAUGUGCAGACUGAUGGUUAAGGGGUACUCCACUGCCUUAGCGUUCGUAAGUGUGGGCGCUGGGGCUCAUGAUGUCACGGCCUCGCCCCUCAUGAUGCAGCCGUCACACUCCCCCUCCAAUAGACUUGCAUUGAGUGGGCGUGGGGUCACAAGGGGGCGUGGCCAUGAUAUCACCAGCCCCAGCGCCGCACUCAGUGUUCGGAACAAAAUGUUCUGAACGCUGAGGCAGUGGAGUAUCCCUUUAAUGUACAGCAGUUUUAUAGGAGUCGGACAUUUUACAGUCAAUGGUAAAAAGGAACUAGAAAACGGAGUUAAAAUCCUAAUACUAUUGGUGUACCAUUUUAAGUAAUUGAACAUGGUGGCAUUUGUUAUCCCCCCCCCCCCCCCCCUACAUUUGUAUUCUAAACAUUGAAAGGACUGACUAUGAUUGUAGGUAACUUUUAUGCUCUGGCUUUUUCAUGACACUAAUCUGCGUGUAGCUGGAUAUUUUUAUUAAUAUAUUGUAGGUAGUAUAUAUAAUGGCCAAAGGUGCCAUUAUGAAAAAACUAUGGCCUUUUCAAAUUUUCGCUUUGAAGAGGAACUCUCUCAUACGCUUUUUAUCAUAUUGUUUUAUGAUAGAAAACGAAUUGUAUUUUUUUUCAGUUUACACAUUUUCUAUAUUUUUUUUUGCACAUCUCGUCAUUAACAAUAUAGUGAAAAAAAAUAAAAAGUAUAUCGCUGAGAAAAUAAAAGAAAGUUGUUUGUAUGUGUUCUGUUUGUAGAUUAAAGGCUGUAUUACGUUGAAAUUUUACAAGCCAAGUUUAAAUUGUAAUAUAGAACUUAUUUUUAUAUUAUUUUCAAAAUAUGCUAUAGAGCAAUAUUUUGCACCUUUAUUAUAUACAGGGUUUGUCAUUUUAGUAGAUUACCUGCAGAGCCAUUGGUAGACCAUGACAUGAAGAUGCUUUGUAAACAGUCUACUGUGCACAUUUACACCAAGGCCAGAUUUUGUGUCUGCAGCAGAACAUCAAAUAGGUUCUUCUUCAGAAGACAAGAAAACAAUUCCUGCAUAUGAAUAAAAGUGCUGCCUUCCACCUUAUUUCCUACAUACUUGUUCAUCAUAUGUUAGGCAUCAAAGUUAUAUGCAGAAUAAGGUUUCACAUCAGAAAAAUGUAUCAGGAGUAUAUGAAGACUGCUAAAAGUAAUAAUAUCCAGUAUAUACAGAACUGAUCAUAAACAAUAUGUUUCCUGUUUAAUAACAUUCAGUCUGAGGG